GUGUCAGCCGCCGCGGUAAGACGAACCGUGCGAACGUUGUUCGGAAUCACUGGGCUUAAAGGGCGCGUAGGCGGGCAUUCAAGUCGGUGGUGAAAUCCUCCGGCUCAACCGGAGAAGAGCUGUCGAUACUGGGUGCCUCGAGGGGUGUAGGGGUCUGUGGAACUUUGGGUGGAGCGGUGAAAUGCGUAGAGAUCCAAAGGAACGCCGGUGGCGAAAGCGACGGACUGGACACCUUCUGACGCUGAGGCGCGAAAGCCAGGGGAGCAAACGGGAUUAGAAACCCCCGUAGUCC
Molecule: ribosomal RNA, 292 nt
Filed under: uncultured bacterium
Lineage: Bacteria
Description: partial 16S ribosomal RNA
Rfam family: Bacterial small subunit ribosomal RNA
Source: RNAcentral